Molecule: ribosomal RNA, 497 nt
Filed under: uncultured bacterium
Lineage: Bacteria
Description: partial 16S ribosomal RNA
Rfam family: Bacterial small subunit ribosomal RNA
Source: RNAcentral
GACGAACGCUGGCGGCGUGCCUAAUACAUGCAAGUUGAGCGCUGAAGGUUGGUACUUGUACCAACUGGAUGAGCAGCGAACGGGUGAGUAACGCGUGGGGAAUCUGCCUUUGAGCGGGGGACAACAUUUGGAAACGAAUGCUAAUACCGCAUAAAAACUUUAAACACAAGUUUUAAGUUUGAAAGAUGCAAUUGCAUCACUCAAAGAUGAUCCCGCGUUGUAUUAGCUAGUUGGUGAGGUAAAGGCUCAACAAGGCGAUGAUACAUAGCCGACCUUAGAGGGUGAUCGGCCACAUUGGGACUGAGACACGGCCCAAACUCCUACGGGAGGCAGCAGUAGGGAAUCUUCGGCGAGGGACGAAAGUCUGACCGAGCAACGCCGCGUGAGUGAAGAAGGUUUUCGGAUCGUAAAACUCUGUUGGUAGAGAAGAACGUUGGUGAGAGUGGAAAGCUCAUCAAGUGACGGUAACUACCCAGAAAGGGACGGCUAACUACGUG